Cyprinus carpio carpio is the source of this 738-nucleotide long non-coding RNA. The record is from Ensembl. Lineage: Eukaryota; Metazoa; Chordata; Actinopteri; Cypriniformes; Cyprinidae.
CUCUUGGUACGAAAUUCGAAUCCCAACAGGAAGUCAGUUAUUUUGAAUUUUCUCUGCAAAAUUUGUGUCGUUUUUGCCAUUUUCAGGGGUUGUACUUUAACGAACUCCUCCUAGAGAUUUAUUCAGAUCAACACCAAACUUUGACUGUGUAAUCUAAAGGCCUUUGCGAUGUUAAAUUGCGAAGAUCUUGAGGUUUCGUUUAAGGGCGUGUCUGUGGCGGCCUUACAAAUUUCGAUGUUUCACCAUGAGAAAGGAAGUUGCUAUAACUCAAACAUACAAUGUCCUAUCUGCCCCAAACUUCACAUGUUUGAGAAGACUCCUGACCUGAAUAUAUCUACAUGCCAAUAUUCAGAUAUCGCUAUAGCGCCACCUGCUGGCAACAGGAAGUGACAUGUUUUACGCCGUAACAAACUACUCCUAGAAAUUUUAUGACAUUUUAUAAUUUUUUUGGUCAGUCUAAUCUAAAGGCCUUUGUGAUGUUAAAUUGUGAACAUCUUGAGGUUUCAUUAAAGGGUGUGGCCAUGGCGCCGUGACAAAGUUCGAUGUCUCGCCAUGGGAAUAGAAGUUGUUGUAACUCAGGCAUAAGAUGUCCGAUCUUCCCCAAACUUCACAUGUUCGAAAAGAGUCUUGGCCUGAACACAUCUGAAGGUCAUUAUUCCACUAUAAUCAUAGCGCCACCUGCUGACAACAGAAAAUGGCUUGUUUUACACUAACUUAAACAUGCAAUGUUCAAUCUGC